CACGUAGGGGGCAAGCGUUGUCCGGAUUCAUUGGGCGUAAAGCGCUCGUAGGCGGUUCGAUAAGUCGGGUGUGAAACCUCCAGGCUCAACCUGGAGACGCCACCCGAUACUGUCGUGACUAGAGUCCAGUAGGGGAGCGUGGAAUUCCUGGUGUAGCGGUGAAAUGCGCAGAUAUCAGGAGGAACACCAGCGGCGAAGGCGGCGCUCUGGGCUGGAACUGACGCUGAGGAGCGAAAGCGUGGGGAGCGAACAGG
This 254-nucleotide ribosomal RNA is filed under the name uncultured bacterium. RNAcentral describes it as "partial 16S ribosomal RNA". It matches the Rfam family "Bacterial small subunit ribosomal RNA", at positions 524 to 776 of the family's 1533-position model. The record is from RNAcentral.